Molecule: long non-coding RNA, 304 nt
Filed under: Homo sapiens (human)
Lineage: Eukaryota; Metazoa; Chordata; Mammalia; Primates; Hominidae
Description: HSALNT0379653
Source: RNAcentral
AGAAGUAUCUCAGAUUGCUUCUGUCUAGAAUUUAUGUGAAGGUAUUUCCUUUUCUACCACAGGCCGCAAAGCACUACAAAUGUCCACUUGCAGAUUCUACAAAAAGAGUGUUUCAAAACUGCUCAAUGAAAAGAAAGGUUCAACUCUGUGAGAUGAAUGCACACAUCACAAAGAAGUUUCAGAGAAUGCUUCUGUGUAGUUUUUAUGUGAAGAUAUUUCCUUUUCCACCAUAGGCCGCAAAGAGCUCCAAAUGUCCACUUGCAGAUUCUACAAAAAGAGGGUUUCAAAACUGCUCAAUCAAAAG